Long non-coding RNA from Mytilus californianus (California mussel), 186 nucleotides. RefSeq lists it as uncharacterized. The transcript has 3 exons. The record is from RefSeq and is a predicted model, not a curated record. Lineage: Eukaryota; Metazoa; Mollusca; Bivalvia; Mytilida; Mytilidae.
UCCCCUGUCAUACAUUUAAGUUAAUACCUAAUGUCAUACACUAAAGGUCCUUGCCCUCGUUGGUCCCCUGUCAUACAUUUAAGUUAAUACCUAAUGUCAUACACUAAAGGUCCUUGCCCUCGUUGGUCCCCUGUCAUACAUUUAAGUUAAUACCUAAUGUCAUACACUAAAGGUCCUUGCCCUCGU